GGGGCUGCGAAGUCCGACUCUGCCACCUCCUCGUGGUGCAGCCUGGUAACAUCAUCUAGUGAUGAUGGCCAAGAGCAGAGCGGUUGUUAUGAGUGUCUGAUUCUUAGUGAACUCAGCAUUCAUUGGCCUUCAGGCCUUGAUCUUUGCUCCCUGUGAGCAAUCGCCCUGCCGCUGCUCUCUGCGAGCAAUCGUCCUGCUGCUGCUCGCUACGAGCAAUCGCCCUGCCUCCGCCCUGCCUCUGCUCUCUGUGAGCAAUCGCUCUGCCGCUGCUCCCUGCGAGCAAUCACCCUGCCGCUGCUCCCUGCGAGCAAACACCCUGCCGCUGCUCCCUACGAGCAAUCGCCCUGCCGCUGCUCCCUGCGAGCAAUCGCCCUGCCGCUGCUCCCUGCGAGCAAUCGUCCUGCUGCUGCUCCUUGCGAGCAAUCGCCCUGCCGUAGCACUUGUGUGCUUUGAUUAUCCCUACCAUGAAUGGCCAUACGUCGGGCCAGAAGUGGAUGUACAGUCUAUAUAGACUGAGUCUCCUCAAGAGUUGCUAUCUGGAUCCUGUGUCUAUCAUUACUGUGUAUAUAGAGAUUUCUCCAGCGUAGCACGUCCCCAUGCCCUUCGGGAGGCUUUUGAAGUGCAGGCAUUGCCUGUGUCUUCUCUGGGACGCUAAACCAAUACAUACAUACAUACGUUUCAGCAUGGU
This 688-nucleotide small RNA is filed under the name Histoplasma ohiense. RNAcentral's name for it is "hypothetical lncRNA". The record is from RNAcentral. Lineage: Eukaryota; Fungi; Ascomycota; Eurotiomycetes; Onygenales; Ajellomycetaceae.